ACGGGGGGUGCAAGCGUUGUUCGGAAUCAUUGGGCGUAAAGCGCGUGUAGGCGGCUUGACAAGUCAGAUGUGAAAUCCCUGGGCUUAACUCAGGAAGUGCAUUUGAUACUGUCAGGCUUGAGUAUGGUAAAGGCAGGUGGAAUUCCUGGUGUAGAGGUGAAAUUCGUAGAUAUCAGGAGGAACACCGGUUGCGAAGGCAGCUUUCUGGCCCUAUACUGACGCUGAUGCGCGAAAGCGUGGGUAGCGAACAG
RNAcentral lists this ribosomal RNA (251 nucleotides) under uncultured prokaryote. Its description in RNAcentral is "partial 16S rRNA". It matches the Rfam family "Bacterial small subunit ribosomal RNA", at positions 525 to 775 of the family's 1533-position model. The record is from RNAcentral.